CUCUUAUCAAGAGCGACAGAGGGACUGGCCCUACGAUGCAGGUAACUAACAACAAUUAUUAUGUCUACAAGGUGCUAACUUCUGCAAGGUUAACCUUGAGAGAUACGAG
This 109-nucleotide non-coding RNA is filed under the name Haloplasma contractile. Its description in RNAcentral is "SAM-I sequence". It matches the Rfam family "SAM riboswitch aptamer (S box leader)". Rfam says of the family: The SAM riboswitch is found upstream of a number of genes which code for proteins involved in methionine or cysteine biosynthesis in Gram-positive bacteria. Lineage: Bacteria; Bacillati; Mycoplasmatota; Mollicutes; Haloplasmatales; Haloplasmataceae. RNAcentral also lists the same sequence under 1 other name. The record is from RNAcentral.